UACGGGGGGGGCAAGCGUUGUUCGGAAUUACUGGGCGUAAAGGGCGCGUAGGCGGUUCGGUAAGUCCUGUGUGAAAUCCCUCGGCUCAACUGAGGAACUGCACGGGAGACUGCCGGGCUUGAGUUCGGGAGAGGGAAGCGGAAUUCCGGGUGUAGCGGUGAAAUGCGUAGAUAUCCGGAGGAACACCGGUGGCGAAGGCGGGUCUCUGGGCCGAUACUGACGCUGAGGAGCGAAAGCGUGGGGAGCGAACAGG
This 253-nucleotide ribosomal RNA is filed under the name uncultured bacterium. RNAcentral describes it as "partial 16S ribosomal RNA". It matches the Rfam family "Bacterial small subunit ribosomal RNA", at positions 524 to 776 of the family's 1533-position model. The record is from RNAcentral.